CAGGUCGAGAGGCGCUGCAACGGGCCGGAGGCCCGCCACGCUCGACCCGAUGUUCAGACCGCAAGGGCGCCUCCGGAGA
RNAcentral lists this non-coding RNA (79 nucleotides) under Kribbella flavida. Its description in RNAcentral is "SAH sequence". It matches the Rfam family "SAH (S-adenosyl-L-homocysteine) riboswitch aptamer". RNAcentral also lists the same sequence under 1 other name. The record is from RNAcentral. Lineage: Bacteria; Bacillati; Actinomycetota; Actinomycetes; Propionibacteriales; Kribbellaceae.